UCAGACCUUUACUUGAAAAAAUAAGAGUGUUCAAAGCAGCCUUGCUCGAAUACGUAGCAUGAAUAAUAAAAUAGGGCGUGCGUUCUAUUUUGUGGUUCUAGAGACGCCGCAAUGAUUACAAGAACAGUCGGGGCAUCAGUAUUCAGUGUCAGAGGUGAAAUUCUUGGAUUUACUGAAGACUAACUACUGCGAAAGCAUUUGCAAAGGAUGUUUUCAUUAAUCAGUGAACGAAAGUUAGGGGAUCGAAGACGAUCAGAUACCGUCGUAGUCUUAACCGUAAACUAUGCCGACUAGGGAUCGGGCGAUGUUCUUUUUCUGACUCGCUCGGCACCUUACGAGAAAUCAAAGUUUUUGGGUUCUGGGGGGAUUAUGGUCGCAAGGCUGAAACUUAAAGAAAUUGACGGAAGGUCACCACCAGGCGUGGAGCCUGCGGCUUAAUUUGACUCAACACGGGGAAACUCACCAGGUCCAGAUGAAAUAAGGAUUGACAGAUUGAGAGCUCUUUCUUGAUUUUUCAGGUGGUGGUGCAUGGCCGUUCUUAGUUCGUGGGGUGACUUGUCUGCUUAAUUGCGAUAACGAGCGAGACCUUACUCUGCUAAAUAGCCAGGCUAACUUUGGUUGGUCGCCGGCUUCUUAGAGAGACUAUCAACUCAAGUUGAUGGAAGUUUGAGGCAAUAACAGGUCUGUGAUGCCCUUAGAUGUUCUGGGCCCCACGCGCGCUACACUGACAGAGCCAACGAGUUCUUUUCCUUGUUCGAAAGAAUUGGGUAAUCUUGUUAAACUCUGUCGUGCUGGGGAUAAAGCAUUGCAAUUAUUGCUUUUCAACGAGGAAUGCCUAGUAAGCGCGUGUCAUCAGCAUGCGUUGAUUACGUCCCUGACCUUUGCACUCACCGCCCGUC
This 899-nucleotide ribosomal RNA is filed under the name uncultured fungus. Its description in RNAcentral is "SSU rRNA". It matches the Rfam family "Eukaryotic small subunit ribosomal RNA", at positions 745 to 1677 of the family's 1831-position model. The record is from RNAcentral. Lineage: Eukaryota; Fungi.